Molecule: long non-coding RNA, 706 nt
Filed under: Sorghum bicolor (sorghum)
Lineage: Eukaryota; Viridiplantae; Streptophyta; Magnoliopsida; Poales; Poaceae
Description: long non-coding RNA (SBIC_LNC000637)
Source: RNAcentral
UAGUGAGUUCCAAGAGUCAAGUGUGCAUCCACCACUCUCUAGAGCCUUGUUUGGGUCAAGUGAGAGUUCUUUGCUUGUUACUCUUGGUGAUCGCCAUUGUUGACGGUUCUUAAGUAUCAAUUUUAAUUAUCAAAUAAACAAGAGAAAGGACCAAUAUGCAACCAACACCUAGAAUUAGGAUUUGAUCCGGCAGAAUUCCACGAGUUUUGUUGUUUAUCUAUUUCUGCAGGGGGUUAUCAGGAAAUAAGGAAGAAAGGCCCACAUGUCGGGAUUACAUAGAGAUAUCAACGCACCGCGCGAUUUUACAUCAUCUAGAAGACUCCAGAAGCCACGAGACCGAAGCGGAGGCGAAACGGGGCCAGGCCCAGGGCGCCCGCCCUGGAGGCCUGGGCGCCCGCCCCCCUCUGGAUUGCUUUCGGGACUCUCUUCGUUCGGGAUAUUCCACCGACCUAUUGGAUCAAGAAAAACAUAGUACCACCUCGCCUAUCGACCCAAAAACACAUAGAAGGGGAGGACUAUAUAAGCAAGGCCCCCCUGGCCCCUGGAGAAGACAUGAAGAAAUUAUCAUAGAGACUGAGGGGUGCCCUCGAAGGAAAACCUCUUCUCUAAUUAAUAUUUCUUUUUAGGCUUAGCAACCAAUGUAAGGUAGAAAUAGAUCUUCUAGUUUCUACUAGAUUGAGAGAGAUAGAGUGGAGGAAGCCCGGCC